AAGAGUAUAGUUUAAUUGGUAAAGCAAGAAGCUUCAACCUUCUUAUCCUCAGUUCAAGUCUGAGUACUCUUG
Molecule: transfer RNA, 72 nt
Filed under: Sphingobacteriaceae bacterium
Lineage: Bacteria; Pseudomonadati; Bacteroidota; Sphingobacteriia; Sphingobacteriales; Sphingobacteriaceae
Description: tRNA-Sec
Rfam family: tRNA
About the family: Transfer RNA (tRNA) molecules are approximately 80 nucleotides in length. Their secondary structure includes four short double-helical elements and three loops (D, anti-codon, and T loops).
Source: RNAcentral